This 497-nucleotide ribosomal RNA is filed under the name uncultured bacterium. RNAcentral's name for it is "partial 16S ribosomal RNA". It matches the Rfam family "Bacterial small subunit ribosomal RNA", at positions 28 to 507 of the family's 1533-position model. The record is from RNAcentral.
GAUGAACGCUGGCGGCGUGCCUAAUACAUGCAAGUCGAGCGAACAGACGAGGAGCUUGCUUCUCUGAUGUUAGCGGCGGACGGGUGAGUAACACGUGGAUAACCUACCUAUAAGACUGGGAUAACUUCGGGAAACCGGAGCUAAUACCGGAUAAUAUAUUGAACCGCAUGGUUCAAUAGUGAAAGACGGUUUUGCUGUCACUUAUAGAUGGAUCCGCGCUGCAUUAGCUAGUUGGUAAGGUAACGGCUUACCAAGGCAACGAUGCAUAGCCGACCUGAGAGGGGGAUCCGCCACACUGGAAAUGGAACACGGUCCAGACUCCUACGGGAGGCAGCAGUAGGGAAUCUUCCGCAAUGGGCGAAAGCCUGACGGAGCAAAGCCGCGUUAGUGGUGGAGGUCUUCCGAUCGUAAAACUCUGUUAUUAGGGAAGAACAAAUGGGUAAGGAACUAGGCACGUCUUGACGGUACCUAAUCAGAAAGCCACGGCUAACUACGUG